Long non-coding RNA from Gossypium arboreum, 441 nucleotides. RefSeq lists it as uncharacterized. The transcript is spliced from 3 exons. The record is from RefSeq and is a predicted model, not a curated record. NCBI's taxonomy places the organism in Eukaryota, Viridiplantae, Streptophyta, Magnoliopsida, Malvales, Malvaceae.
CAAAGAUCCUCACAAUUUCUGAAGCUGAUCUCCACCAGCAAUUUGUUAUGGACGCAAUUCUACGAAUUGAAAAGUUGAAAAUGUCAGGUUCAACAGCUGAAGGAGCUGCAAGCUCAGGAACAGAGAGGACUCAGCUAGCUGAUGAUCACAAUGAUGAAAACAUCGAACAACCGGAACCUUCAGCAAGUGAAGGUCACUUCUUAGAGGUGCAAGUUUCAUAGAAGAGCACAGCAAUGUUGCGGAUACCAACUUAAGUUUCUCUAAGUUUAUAUGGUUUUCAUAAAAGCAAACCGUUGUUAAUUACUUCGGUCUAGUCAAGCAGUUGUUCCCUUUAUCAACAGUGUCGAGGGUUUAAGGUUUAAAGCCCUCUUCUUAGGUUUCUUUAAAUGUAUGGAUAUAGAGUAAAAAAAAACUCGGUAGGGUUGCUAGCAGUUCUUGCUA